ACAUUGAGGUUUUAGUUGUGGUGCAUGCAGUAGUUUGGAUGCAUUUUUGGUCAUUUUUACAACGUUUGUUCAUAAUGUUGUGCUAAAAAAAGUUGAUGAAUAUCAAGAAAAGAUGGAAUUAUUGAGCAAUUAUCGAUUAUAACAAGAUCAGUGCCCAAAGUUCUACAGAAUCAGACCAUCCUCUUUUGCUUCUCAGAGAUACGUUGAAUCCAACGUCGCCAAGGAACUUAAAAUUCGCAUCGUUUAACUGCUCCUGCCAUUCCAAAAAACAAAUUGCGUACUCUUUCUUUGACUCAAUUUUUUGAGAAUUUUUUCUACGCAAUGGAAUCAGAUGAAUUCUUUUAAAAUUAAUAAUUGUUAGGGGAGGGGGCGGCCGAAGGUGCAACUGCCAACGCGACUUGGCCAAGGAUGGAGGAAGAGGAAGGAGGAACAAACUGGUGAAUAAAUUCGACCUAAAUUGCCACAGGAAAGGGAAGGAAUCGAACCUGACUGGUUGUUGGACGUGCCGAACUAACCAAGUCGAGGGAGGGGGAGGUAGCGACUGAUCGUUGGACUAUGCCGAACUGAUCAGUUCGAGGUUGGGAAAAGGAGAGGAAGCGACUGAUCGUUGGACUCUGCCGAACUAAUCGAGUCAAGUAGAACGUCGAUAUCCGGGCAGCUCGGGACCCGAC
Molecule: long non-coding RNA, 671 nt
Organism: Anopheles merus
Lineage: Eukaryota; Metazoa; Arthropoda; Insecta; Diptera; Culicidae
Exons: 4
Source: RefSeq, a predicted model, not a curated record